Gossypium hirsutum (cotton) is the source of this 144-nucleotide non-coding RNA. NCBI's taxonomy places the organism in Eukaryota, Viridiplantae, Streptophyta, Magnoliopsida, Malvales, Malvaceae. The record is from Rfam.
UGUUAAAAAAUUUAUCCAUUUCUACUGUUAAAAAUUGACGUGGCUGAUGAUAUAACCAGUCAGUUACACAUAGUGUAUCAUGUGUACCUCAUGCUAACGUAUAGGGAAAAAUUUAAAUAGUAGAAAUGAAUAGAAUUUUUAACU